UACGUAGGUGGCAAGCGUUGUCCGGAAUUAUUGGGCGUAAAGCGUGCGCAGGCGGUCCUUUAAGUCCGAUGUGAAAGCCCACGGCUUAACCGUGGAGAGUCAUUGGAAACUGGGGGACUUGAGUACAGAAGAGGAAAGCGGAAUUCCACGUGUAGCGGUGAAAUGCGUAGAGAUGUGGAGGAACACCAGUGGCGAAGGCGGCUUUCUGGUCUGUAACUGACGCUGAGGCGCGAAAACGUGGGGAGCAAACAGG
Molecule: unclassified non-coding RNA, 253 nt
Filed under: uncultured Caryophanales bacterium
Lineage: Bacteria; Bacillati; Bacillota; Bacilli; Caryophanales
Description: uncultured Bacillales bacterium contains 16S-23S intergenic spacer region
Rfam family: Bacterial small subunit ribosomal RNA
Source: RNAcentral